GAUAAACGCUGGCGGCGUGCUUAACACAUGCAAGUCGAACGAAGUUUUUCUUUCGGGAGGAACUUAGUGGCGGACGGGUGAGUAACGCGCGGGUAACCUGCCCUGUACAGGGGGACAACAGCUGGAAACGGCUGCUAAUUACGCAUAAGCCCUUAGCCCUGCAUGGUGCAUAGGGUAAAGGAGCAAUCCGGUACAGGAUGGACCCGCGUCUGAUUAGCCAGUUGGCAGGGUAACUGCCUACCAAAGCGACGAUCAGUAGCCGAUCUGGUAGGAUGUACGGCCACAUUGGGACUGAGACACGGCCCAGACUCCUACGGGAGGCAGCAGUGGGGAAUAUUGCACAAUGGAGGAAACUCUGAUGCAGCGACGCCGCGUGAGUGAAGAAGUAUUUCGGUAUGUAAAGCUCUAUCAGCAGGAAAGAGAAUGACGGUACCUGACUAAGAAGCACCGGCUAAAUACGUG
Molecule: ribosomal RNA, 462 nt
Filed under: uncultured bacterium
Lineage: Bacteria
Description: partial 16S ribosomal RNA
Rfam family: Bacterial small subunit ribosomal RNA
Source: RNAcentral